CGGAUCGGUCCGUAAAUAAGGUGUAGAAGGAUCGAGUCCUUAGUACACGUGUCGCAUAACUAAUCGUCUCUCCUCUCUCCUCUCUCUCUCACCAAACUCAGCCGUAGAAGAAGAAGCCAUGGGAGAUAAGCUCUCUCUCUCUCUCUCCCCCUCCAUCACCCUUUUGAUUGGAGGAGAGAUGGAGACGAAUUCGAACAAACCGCCGUCGUUUCUCCCUAAACGCUCCCAAUCCGUCGACCGCCGUCGUCCCUCGCCUUCCCCAGCCACCGAAAUGUCCGCAGCCACGAAGAUGCUCAUCACCUCCACCAGGAGCCUCUCGGUUUCCUUCCAAGGUGAAGCCUUUUCCCUUCCCAGCAGCAAAAAGAAGGAAGCCACCGCCGCUCCUCCCGUUAUCUUCAGUGGUGGUUUGUCAAUGCGAGGACUGAGUAUACUUUAAUGGUGUGCAACGGCGUGAUCCGCGUGCAACGGCGCUAUUUGUAUUGUUCUGUUUGAUCGUUGCGGUUAUUCUGUAUGUGACACCGUUUCAGGUUGUGGCGCUUUUGGUUGGGAUCUAUAUUCUGAGACAUCCGAGGUUUAGGUACAGGCUGCCGUUAGUUCCUCUCAAUUUUUUCAGGAGGCUUCCUGCAAGAACUGAGUGCAUGCUCUGAGCACAAAGAACCGAUCAUCCCUUUUGGAAUUGUUAGUUUGUUUCUUGUUUUUUUUAAAGAUCAUGAUGACUCUUUUGCUUGUUGAUGAUUAUGAUGUCGUUUGGUUUUCAAACAUUAUCAGGACUUCUUGUUUCUUGUUUGAAAUUAGUAAAUUAGCAUCUGUGUGUGGCUUUGAUGUUCUUUUGUUCUGGUUGGUUAGUCCUCUAUGUUAUCGCAAGUCUGCUUCACUACUCAACCGGUAACAUCUCUCUGCUCUUUCUACAUUUUGUUACCAAAAGAUGAAACUUUUAGGCUUGGAUUUUGUUGGUAGUAGAUAUUUGCCAUUAGCUAAAGAUUCUAAUUAGAGUAACACCAUUGGACUUGAUCAUUUUGAUUAAGUCCUUAAUUAUUCAAAAAAACAAAAAAUAAAAAACAAAAAAAUUUAAUGAUAAACUAAUCCUAAGGACUCCACACCAUUAACUGAGCAUUUAACACCACUACAUCUCUGAGCUUUUCAUCAGACUAAAUUCUAUGAUCCCAUCUAUUUUAACAUUCUCGAGCUUUUGUUUAUGACUAUUGUUUCAUUUACAGGGUUUGAGAGGCUUCUCGCGCAUCCUAUAGCUUGGAUUGUGAUUGGCGUGUUAGUAUCGUUGGCGGAAUAAAAACCGAACAAAGAGACGCCCUCAUAAGAGAAACCCACGACCUUGCAAGAGAGGCAAGAGACGCCCUCGCAAGAGAAGCCGGAGAAUUAAAGUUAGAUAACUAAUUAUGGAUGUUUGUUAUUUUGAAACUCAAAAAAAAAAAAUUCCCUUAUAUAUAUUUUUCGUGUUUUUGUGAGGGAAAACGUAUAUAUUGAUGUUAUGGUUAACUUUGUUUUAUUUAUGAUAUUUUUACAGUAUCA
Raphanus sativus (radish) is the source of this 1527-nucleotide long non-coding RNA. RefSeq lists it as uncharacterized. Lineage: Eukaryota; Viridiplantae; Streptophyta; Magnoliopsida; Brassicales; Brassicaceae. The transcript has 3 exons. The record is from RefSeq and is a predicted model, not a curated record.